UACGGGGGGAGCAAGCGUUGUUCGGAUUUACUGGGCGUAAAGGGCGCGUAGGCGGGCUGUCAAGUCUGGGGUGAAAUGCCGCGGCUCAACCGUGGAACUGCCUUAGAUACUGACGGCCUCGAGGGAGGUAGGGGCGUGCGGAACUGUAGGUGGAGCGGUGAAAUGCGUAGAGAUCGGGAGGAACACCAGUGGCGAAGGCGGCUACCUGGACCAGCACUGACACUGAGGCACGAAAGCGUGGGGAGCAAACAGG
Molecule: ribosomal RNA, 253 nt
Filed under: uncultured bacterium
Lineage: Bacteria
Description: partial 16S ribosomal RNA
Rfam family: Bacterial small subunit ribosomal RNA
Source: RNAcentral